CCGUACACCAAAAUGCACAGGCUGUGAACUCGAAGAGUAGGGCGGGACACGUGGUAUCCUGUCUGAAUAUGGGGGGACCAUCCUCCAAGGCUAAAUACUCCUGACUGACCGAUAGUGAACCAGUACCGUGAGGGAAAGGCGAAAAGAACCCCGGCGAGGGGAGUGAAAAAGAACCUGAAACCGUGUACGUACAAGCAGUGGGAGCACCUUNCACUAUCGUUAACUGAAUACAUAGGUUAACGAGGCGAACCGGGGGAACUGAAACAUCUAAGUACCCCGAGGAAAAGAAAUCAACCGAGAUUCCCCCAGUAGCGGCGAGCGAACGGGGAGCAGCCCAGAGUCUGAAUCAGCUUGUGUGUUAGUGGAACGGUCUGGAAAGUCCGACGGUACAGGGUGAUAGUCCCGUACACCAAAAUGCACAGGCUGUGAACUCGAAGAGUAGGGCGGGACACGUGGUAUCCUGUCUGAAUAUGGGGGGACCAUCCUCCAAGGCUAAAUACUCCUGACUGACCGAUAGUGAACCAGUACCGUGAGGGAAAGGCGAAAAGAACCCCGGCGAGGGGAGUGAAAAAGAACCUGAAACCGUGUACGUACAAGCAGUGGGAGCCCCACCACUAAGCCAGUGGUGAACUCCACAUAUGCAUCCUUUGCUGAAGGUGCGGUUAACGGAGCGUAAGCGACGUUCAACCUCAAAAGAAGCAGAGGGGGCUUAGUGGUGGGGUGACUGCGUACCUUUUGUAUAAUGGGUCAGCGACUUAUAUUCUGUAGCAAGGUUAACCGUAUAGGGGAGCCGCAGGGAAACCGAGUCUUAACUGGGCGUUAAGUUGCAGGGUAUAGACCCGAAACCCGGUGAUCUAGCCAUGGGCAGGUUGAAGGUUGGGUAACACUAACUGGAGGACCGAACCGACUAAUGUUGAAAAAUUAGCGGAUGACUUGUGGCUGGGGGUGAAAGGCCAAUCAAACCGGGAGAUAGCUGGUUCUCCCCGAAAGCUAUUUAGGUAGCGCCUCGUGAACUCAUCUUCGGGGGUAGAGCACUGUUUCGGCUAGGGGGUCAUCCCGACUUACCAACCCGAUGCAAACUACGAAUACCGAAGAAUGUUAUCACGGGAGACACACGGCGGGUGCUAACGUCCGUCGUGAAGAGGGAAACAACCCAGACCGCCAGCUAAGGUCCCAAAGUCAUGGUUAAGUGGGAAACGAUGUGGGAAGGCACAGACAGCCAGGAUGUUGGCUUAGAAGCAGCCAUCAUUUAAAGAAAGCGUAAUAGCUCACUGGUCGAGUCGGCCUGCGCGGAAGAUGUAACGGGGCUAAACCAUGCACCGAAGCUGCGGCAGCGACNGUUGUUGGGUAGGGGAGCGUUCUGUAAGCCUGCGAAGGUGACCUGUGAGGGUUGCUGGAGGUAUCAGAAGUGCGAAUGCUGACAUAAGUAACGAUAAAGCGGGUGAAAAGCCCGCUCGCCGGAAGACCAAGGGUUCCUGUCCAACGUUAAUCGGGGCAGGGUGAGUCGACCCCUAAGGCGAGGCCGAAAGGCGUAGUCGAUGGGAAACAGGUUAAUAUUCCUGUACUUGGUGUUACUGCGAAGGGGGGACGGAGAAGGCUAUGUUAGCCGGGCGACGGUUGUCCCGGUUUAAGCAUGUAGGCUGGUUAUCCAGGCAAAUCCGGAUAAUCAAGGCUGAGGUGUGAUGACGAGGCACUACGGUGCUGAAGUAACAAAUGCCCUGCUUCCAGGAAAAGCCUCUAAGCAUCAGGUAACANAAAUCGUACCCCAAACCGACACAGGUGGUCAGGUAGAGAAUACCAAGGCGCUUGAGAGAACUCGGGUGAAGGAACUAGGCAAAAUGGUGCCGUAACUUCGGGAGAAGGCACGCUGGUGUGUAGGUGAAGUCCCUGCGGAUGGAGCUGAGACCAGUCGAAGAUACCAGCUGGCUGCAACUGUUUAUUAAAAACACAGCACUGUGCAAACACGAAAGUGGACGUAUACGGUGUGACGCCUGCCCGGUGCCGGAAGGUUAAUUGAUGGGGUUAUCCGUAAGGAGAAGCUCUUGAUCGAAGCCCCGGUAAACGGCGGCCGUAACUAUAACGGUCCUAAGGUAGCGAAAUUCCUUGUCGGGUAAGUUCCGACCUGCACGAAUGGCGUAAUGAUGGCCAGGCUGUCUCCACCCGAGACUCAGUGAAAUUGAACUCGCUGUGAAGAUGCAGUGUACCCGCGGCAAGACGGAAAGACCCCGUGAACCUUUACUAUAGCUUGACACUGAACAUUGAGCCUUGAUGUGUAGGAUAGGUGGGAGGCUUUGAAGCGUGGACGCCAGUCUGCGUGGAGCCAACCUUGAAAUACCACCCUUUAAUGUUUGAUGUUCUAACGUUGGCCCCUUAUCGGGGUUGCGGACAGUGUCUGGUGGGUAGUUUGACUGGGGCGGUCUCCUCCCAAAGCGUAACGGAGGAGCACGAAGGUUAGCUAAUCCUGGUCGGACAUCAGGAGGUUAGUGCAAUGGCAUAAGCUAGCUUGACUGCGAGCGUGACGGCGCGAGCAGGUGCGAAAGCAGGUCAUAGUGAUCCGGUGGUUCUGAAUGGAAGGGCCAUCGCUCAACGGAUAAAAGGUACUCCGGGGAUAACAGGCUGAUACCGCCCAAGAGUUCAUAUCGACGGCGGUGUUUGGCACCUCGAUGUCGGCUCAUCACAUCCUGGGGCUGAAGUAGGUCCCAAGGGUAUGGCUGUUCGCCAUUUAAAGUGGUACGCGAGCUGGGUUUAGAACGUCGUGAGACAGUUCGGUCCCUAUCUGCCGUGGGCGCUGGAGAAUUGAGGGGGGCUGCUCCUAGUACGAGAGGACCGGAGUGGACGCAUCACUGGUGUUCGGGUUGUCAUGCCAAUGGCACUGCCCGGUAGCUAAAUGCGGAAGAGAUAAGUGCUGAAAGCAUCUAAGCACGAAACUUGCCCCGAGAUGAGUUCUCCCUGAGACUUUAAGUCUCCUGAAGGAACGUUGAAGACGACGACGUUGAUAGGCCGGGUGUGUAAGCGCAGCGAUGCGUUGAGCUAACCGGUACUAAUGAACCGUGAGGCUUAACCUU
This 3065-nucleotide ribosomal RNA is filed under the name Klebsiella quasipneumoniae. RNAcentral describes it as "23S ribosomal RNA". It matches the Rfam family "Bacterial large subunit ribosomal RNA". The record is from RNAcentral. Lineage: Bacteria; Pseudomonadati; Pseudomonadota; Gammaproteobacteria; Enterobacterales; Enterobacteriaceae.